GACGAACGCUGGCGGCGUGCUUAACACACGCAAGUCGAACGGAAAGGCCCUGCUUUUGUGGGGUGCUCGAUUGGCGAACGGGUGAGUAACACGUGAGUAACCUGCCCUUGACUUUGGGAUAACUUCAGGAAACUGGGGCGAAUACCGGAUAGGAGCUCCUGCUGCAUGGGGGGGGUUGGAAAGUUUCGGCGGUUGGGGAUGGACUCGCGGCUUAUGAGCUUGUUGGUGGGGUAGUGGCGUACGAAGGCUUUGACGGGUAGCCGGCCUGAGAGGGUUACCGGCGACCGUGGGACUGCGAGACGCACCAGACGCCAAUGGGACGCAGCAGGGGGGAAUCUUGCACAACGGGCGGAAGCGUGAUGCAGCAACGCCGCGUGCGGGAUACCGGGCUACGGGGGGAAAACCGCUUUCGCCGGUGACGAAGAGGGAGUGACGGUAACGGGUAAAGAAGCAACGGCUAACUACGUG
This 468-nucleotide ribosomal RNA is filed under the name uncultured bacterium. RNAcentral describes it as "partial 16S ribosomal RNA". It matches the Rfam family "Bacterial small subunit ribosomal RNA", at positions 28 to 507 of the family's 1533-position model. The record is from RNAcentral.